This 23-nucleotide non-coding RNA is filed under the name Arabidopsis thaliana (thale cress). Lineage: Eukaryota; Viridiplantae; Streptophyta; Magnoliopsida; Brassicales; Brassicaceae. The record is from RNAcentral.
CUAUAGGCUUUAAUCGUUUCAUC